GGGAACGCACUGUAAACACAACAGUUGUUAUCUAGAGCUCACUAGUAGCAACUAGCUGCUAUCUGACGUUACCAGGCCUUACUAUUCCUGGACCAUGUAGCUAAGUGGAUGCCGGUUAGAAGCCAAUUACUAGAGAUGGAUGCCUUUUUGGGAUCUCUGCAAGACCAUGACGUGAGCUCUGUCCUCACGUCCUGUGAGCCCGAGCUGCAGGAGCUGAUGAGACAAAUAGACAUCAUGGUGAACCAUAAGAGGACGGAGUGGGAGGCAGAGAUCCAUGCCAUGGAGCUGCGUCUGCACAGCGGA
Long non-coding RNA from Oncorhynchus nerka (sockeye salmon), 303 nucleotides. RefSeq lists it as uncharacterized. NCBI's taxonomy places the organism in Eukaryota, Metazoa, Chordata, Actinopteri, Salmoniformes, Salmonidae. The record is from RefSeq and is a predicted model, not a curated record. The transcript has 3 exons.